This 199-nucleotide long non-coding RNA is filed under the name Elaeis guineensis (African oil palm). RNAcentral's name for it is "long non-coding RNA (EGUI_LNC030654)". Lineage: Eukaryota; Viridiplantae; Streptophyta; Magnoliopsida; Arecales; Arecaceae. The record is from RNAcentral.
CAACAUUUAAUCAACUGCACAUGGCCUCAAACCUGGAAUAUGAGGAACGGAUGCUAAGAUUCAUUUCAAUCGGACUACCAUUGUGAUGGUGUAUCUAUUCUUCUUGAAAUUCAUUGUACUUGUCUAAUUGCUAGGAGGUAGAAAAUAACACAAGGGCGUGGUUGUGUUGCUUUUAGUUUAGAAAAAGAAAGAAAAAACU